This is a non-coding RNA of Morus notabilis, 70 nucleotides long. NCBI's taxonomy places the organism in Eukaryota, Viridiplantae, Streptophyta, Magnoliopsida, Rosales, Moraceae. The record is from Rfam.
GCACCAAUGGUCUAGUGGUAGAAUAGUACCCUGCCACGUACAGACCUGGGUUCGAUUCCCGGCUGGUGCA